GUAGGGUGCAAGCGUUAAUCGGGAAUUACUGGGGCGUAAAGCGUGCGCAGGCGGUUGUGCAAGACAGAUGUGAAAUACCCCGGGGCUCAACCUGGGAAUUGCAUUUGUGACUGUACGGCUAGAGUGUGUCAGAGGGGGGUAGAAUUCCACGUGUAGCAGUGAAAUGCGUAGAGAUGUGGAGGAAUACCGAUGGCGAAGGCAGCCCCCUGGGAUAACACUGACGCUCAUGCACGAAAGCGUGGGGAGCAAACAGGAUUAGAUACCCUGGUAGUCCACGCCCUUAACGAUGUCAACUAGGUUGUCGGGUCUUAAUUGACUUGGUAACGCAGCUAACGCGUGAAGUUGACCGCCUGGGGAGUACGGUCGCAAGAUUA
Molecule: ribosomal RNA, 374 nt
Filed under: uncultured organism
Description: partial 16S ribosomal RNA
Rfam family: Bacterial small subunit ribosomal RNA
Source: RNAcentral